GUCGUGCUCUAGCUGGUCGGGGGAGCCUGUAUCAGGGACUUGGCGGGGUGUCACUCAGCCCUGUACCCAGGGCCGGACCUGUGCCUGGCGGGGUAGCAGAGGCCUAAUAUCAGUGAAGAAGAUGUGAAUAUGGGGGCCAAGAGUGGUAUUCCACUAGCCAACAGCAGAAUCUGGACUUGCAUGUGGAUCACUGUGUACAGAUGAGGGACAAAUGGAAUGAAAUGUAUCUUCCAGUGUUACAGAGAAACAGGAGCAUGGAGAGGCUGAGUGAUCCGUCCAGGGCUACACGAGAAGAGUUCCUCAGAGCUGCCCUGGAAUCCACGUCUUCUUAUUGGAGAUCUGAUGCGUCUGUUAUUUCACCGUGCUCUCCCCGUACCUAACAGACCAUCGGCAGUCAACUCAACAGAAGGACCAUUCUCUUUCCGGAAAGAUUGGAUGUAAGUCUGAAAAGAGCUUCCCCACAGUCAAAUAUUGGUGUCGUUUGAAUGAUUUCCCUUGGAAGAUAAUCUUCAAUGACUGACAGCUUCUACAGAAUGGGGCUUCAAUAAGCUAGAGAAAUCCGUGUCUUGCUGUAGUCAAUUUAUAGUCUUUCCUGCUUUCCACCAAAUUUCUUUUCCUGGUAAUAUUUCUGGCAUUUUAUUUUUAGAACAUGGGUGAUGAGUGAGAAUUUUUGAAAAACUGAAGUAUAGCAUGUAUCAGUAGAAUCAUGUACUUUUUUAAAAAAGGAUUUGUUUAUUGAUUUGAAAGACAAGGUUACAGAGAGACGGGAGAGAGAGAGAGGGAGAGAGAGAGAGAGAGAUCUUCCAUUUACUGGUUCACUCCCUGAAUGGUUGCAAUGAUUGGGGCUGGGCCCAGCCAAAGCCAGGAGCCAGCAGCUUCAUCU
Oryctolagus cuniculus (rabbit) is the source of this 883-nucleotide long non-coding RNA. RefSeq lists it as uncharacterized. Lineage: Eukaryota; Metazoa; Chordata; Mammalia; Lagomorpha; Leporidae. The record is from RefSeq and is a predicted model, not a curated record.